CUAGUUGUCGCUAACCCUGCAAACACCAAUGCAUUGAUUCUGAAAGAAUUUGCGCCAUCAAUCCCUGCUAAGAACAUUACAUGCUUGACCAGAUUGGAUCAUAACAGGGCAUUGGGACAAAUAUCUGAGAAACUGAAUGUCCAAGUAUCUGAUGUUAAGAAUGUGAUUAUUUGGGGAAAUCAUUCAUCAUCUCAGUACCCUGAUGUCAACCAUGCAACUGUCAAUACUGCAGCUGGGGAAAAGCCUGUCCGUGAGCUUGUCAAGGAU
This 267-nucleotide long non-coding RNA is filed under the name Citrus sinensis (sweet orange). RNAcentral's name for it is "long non-coding RNA (CSIN_LNC003852)". The record is from RNAcentral. Lineage: Eukaryota; Viridiplantae; Streptophyta; Magnoliopsida; Sapindales; Rutaceae.